AUGGCUCAGAUGAACGCUGGCGGCAGGCCUAACACAUGCAAGUCGAACGGUAACAGGAAGAAGCUUGCUCUUGCUGACGAGUGGCGGACGGGUGAGUAAUGUCUGGGAAGCUGCCUGAUGGAGGGGGGAUAACUACUGGAAACGGUAGCUAAUACCGCAUAACGUCGCAAGACCAAAGAGGGGGACCUUCGGGCCUCUUGCCAUCGGAUGUGCCCAGAUGGGAUUAGCUAGUAGGUGGGGUAACGGCUCACCUAGGCGACGAUCCCUAGCUGGUCUGAGAGGAUGACCAGCCACACUGGAACUGAGACACGGUCCAGACUCCUACGGGAGGCAGCAGUGGGAAUAUUGCACAAUGGGCGCAAGCCUGAUGCAGCCAUGCCGCGUGUAUGAAGAAGGCCUUCGGGUUGUAAAGUACUUUCAGCGGGGAGGAAGGGAGUAAAGUUAAUACCUUUGCUCAUUGACGUUACCCGCAGAAGAAGCACCGGCUAACUCCGUGCCAGCAGCAGC
This 507-nucleotide ribosomal RNA is filed under the name uncultured bacterium. RNAcentral describes it as "bacterial SSU rRNA". It matches the Rfam family "Bacterial small subunit ribosomal RNA", at positions 19 to 518 of the family's 1533-position model. The record is from RNAcentral.